UCAUUUCACUUAAAACAAAAAGCGCGGUUUUACCCCCAAAUUUUCCCCCUCUGAAACCCCUAAUUUUUCCCCCUAAAAUGGCCCCUCCGUUGCUCUUUUCAAUCAAGAAACUCUCCAGCAGCAGUCUUGAUUUGGUUUCCAGUUAGACUCGAGAUAGAAGAGAUGGCAGUGAACCAGUAUAGGCGUUGAAGGUGGGUCCACCUCUGUAUUGGCAUUUCAUGGAAGGAUUAGUAGUCUUCAGCCACACUUCCAACACUUGCCCACCUUGCCUUUGCGAUUGCUCUUCUCACAAUCCUUGAAGAUGAUGGAACUUAUGCAAUGAAGAAAGUUCUCAUUCAGAAUAAUGAACAGUUAGAAUUGGUUCGGGAGGAGAUCCGUUUAGUCAUCGAAAUCUUCUUCCCCUUCUUGAUCAUGCUAUCAUUUCUAUUAAGCCUACACAAGAAGGAUCAUGGAAUCACGACGCAUAUUUACUAUUUCCCGUUCAUUUGGAUGGAACUUUACUGGACAAUUUCAAAGCUAUGAGUGCUAAAAAUGAUUUCUUUUCUACCUCGGAUGU
Long non-coding RNA from Gossypium arboreum, 556 nucleotides. RefSeq lists it as uncharacterized. The transcript has 3 exons. NCBI's taxonomy places the organism in Eukaryota, Viridiplantae, Streptophyta, Magnoliopsida, Malvales, Malvaceae. The record is from RefSeq and is a predicted model, not a curated record.